RNAcentral lists this ribosomal RNA (511 nucleotides) under uncultured eukaryote. RNAcentral's name for it is "bacterial SSU rRNA". It matches the Rfam family "Eukaryotic small subunit ribosomal RNA", at positions 22 to 548 of the family's 1831-position model. The record is from RNAcentral.
AGUCAUAUGCUUGUCUCAAAGACUAAGCCAUGCAUGUCUAAGUUUAAGCGAUUUACACUGUGAGACUGCGGACGGCUCAUUAUAUCAGUUAUAGUUUAUUUGAUGGUCACCACUACAAGGAUAACCGUAGUAAUUCUAGAGCUAAUACUUGCACUAAAGUCACUUUUGUGAUUGCAUUUAUUAGAUUUCCCACCAAUCUGCUCUGCAGUUCGGUGAAUCAUAGUAACUAAGCGGAUCAAAUCGUCAGAUUUGACGCUUCAUUCAAGUUUCUGCCCUAUCAGCUUUCGAAGGUAGUGUAUUGGACUACCUUGGCAUUGACGGGUAACGGAGAAUUAGGGUUCGAUUCCGGAGAGGGAGCCUGAGAAACGGCUACCACAUCCAAGGAAGGCAGCAGGCGCGUAAAUUACCCAAUCCUAACGCAGGGAGGUAGUGACAAGAAAUAACGAUAGCUCAUCAUUUUUGGUAAGCUGAUCGGAAUGAGUACAAUCUAAACACCUUAACGAUUAACGAU